This 103-nucleotide small nuclear RNA is filed under the name Neogale vison (American mink). Lineage: Eukaryota; Metazoa; Chordata; Mammalia; Carnivora; Mustelidae. The record is from RNAcentral.
CUAUUUGCCUCAAAAGCCCAUAUAAAAUUUUAACAUUACAGAGAAGAUUUUCAUGGACCUUGUGUAAGGAUUACAGGUAGAUUAUGAAGCAUUCUAUAUUUCU